CCCGCCGAAUCUGGAGAGCGGCGCCUGGUUCCAGGCGCCCACCGAAGGGGCUAACGGCUGGUGCUGCACCAGUCGGAAAAUCUCAGGUGUAGGGACAGAGGGGUGUAU
This 108-nucleotide non-coding RNA is filed under the name Pseudogulbenkiania sp. NH8B. Its description in RNAcentral is "Glycine riboswitch aptamer". It matches the Rfam family "Glycine riboswitch aptamer". Rfam says of the family: This family represents the bacterial glycine riboswitch. Glycine riboswitches usually consist of two metabolite-binding aptamers domains with similar structures in tandem. The aptamers cooperatively bind glycine to regulate the expression of downstream genes. Lineage: Bacteria; Pseudomonadati; Pseudomonadota; Betaproteobacteria; Neisseriales; Chromobacteriaceae. The record is from Rfam by way of RNAcentral. RNAcentral also lists the same sequence under 1 other name.